UUGAUACUCCCUCUAUCCGAAAAUACUUGUCCUAAAAAUGGAUAAAAUAGAUGUAUCUAUAACCAAAAUAAGUCUAAAUACAAUCAUUCCUAAGACAAAUAUUUUCGAAUGAAGGGAGUAGGUU
Non-coding RNA from Triticum aestivum (bread wheat), 124 nucleotides. The record is from Rfam. Lineage: Eukaryota; Viridiplantae; Streptophyta; Magnoliopsida; Poales; Poaceae.